AGUGAACGCUGGCGGCGUGCCUAAUACAUGCAAGUCGAACGCGAAAGUCCUUCGGGAUGAGUAAAGUGGCGCACGGGUGAGUAAUACAUGGGAACAUGCCCUUGGAUGGGGAAUAACGUUUGGAAACGAACGCUAAUACCGCAUAAUCUCGCGAGAGUAAAGGUGGCGCCGCAAGGGCUACCGUCCAAGGAUUGGCCCAUGUCCCAUUAGCUAGUUGGCGGGGUAAUGGCCCACCAAGGCAACGAUGGGUAUGUGGUCUGAGAGGAUGAUCACACACACUGGAACUGAGACACGGUCCAGACUCCUACGGGAGGCAGCAGUAGGGAAUAUUGCACAAUGGGGGAAACCCUGAUGCAGCAACGCCGCGUGAGUGAAGAAGGCCCUUGGGUUGUAAAGCUCUUUAGCGUGGGAAGAAGGUAGAUACGGUGAAUAAUCGUGUUUGCUGACGGUACCACGAGAAUAAGCACCGGCUAAUUUCGUGCCAGCCGCCGCUGUAA
Molecule: ribosomal RNA, 497 nt
Filed under: uncultured bacterium
Lineage: Bacteria
Description: partial 16S ribosomal RNA
Rfam family: Bacterial small subunit ribosomal RNA
Source: RNAcentral